AAAAAGUUUUAUUUAAACUUAAAAUUUUAGUUUAUUUUUAUUUUAUAUGUAAAUUUUAUUAAUUAAAAAUUUAUUUGCAGUUUAGAAUUUUAGAAAAUUAUUUAUGUAAGUUUUAUUAAUUAAUAAUAGAUUUAAUAAAAUUUGUGCCAGCAAUUGCGGUUAUACAGAUGAUUCGAUUAAAAUUUAUUGGUUAGUAAUUAAUUGUUUUAUUUAAAAUUUAUUAUUAAUAUUUUUAAGUGAAAUUAAAAUUUAAAUUUAGGUUUUUUAUUUUUAUAUGAAGUUAUUAAAAUUAGUAUUAAACUAGGAUUAGAUACCCUAUUAUUAUAAUAGUAAAUUUUUAUACCAAAUUAGUAUUAGUUAUGUUCUUAAAAAUUAAAAAAUUUGGCGGUAUUUUAGUCUAUUCAGAGGAACCUGUCCUGUAAUUGAUAAUCCACGAUUAGCUUAACUUCUUUUUAUAUUUGUAUAUCGUUGUUUUUGAAUAUUUUAUAAGAAUUAGAAUUUUCAAUAAGUAUAUGAUAGUUUAUUUCAGAUCAAGAUGCAGUUAUAAGGAAGAAGAGGUGGGUUACAUUAAAAUUAUUUUUGGUUUAGCAUCUUAAAAAUGUUAUUAAACUGGAUUUGAUAGUAAUAUUUUAUAUAUUUGAUAUAUGAUUAUAGCUCUAAAAUGUGUACAUAUUGCCCGUCGCUCUCAUUAUUUUGAGAUAAGUCGUAACAAAGUAGAUUUACUGGAAAGUGAAUCUAGAAUUAAC
RNAcentral lists this non-coding RNA (746 nucleotides) under Luciola parvula. The record is from RNAcentral. Lineage: Eukaryota; Metazoa; Arthropoda; Insecta; Coleoptera; Lampyridae.